Molecule: transfer RNA, 75 nt
Filed under: Clostridium sp.
Lineage: Bacteria; Bacillati; Bacillota; Clostridia; Eubacteriales; Clostridiaceae
Also listed under: 2 other names
Description: tRNA-Cys
Rfam family: tRNA
About the family: Transfer RNA (tRNA) molecules are approximately 80 nucleotides in length. Their secondary structure includes four short double-helical elements and three loops (D, anti-codon, and T loops). Further hydrogen bonds mediate the characteristic L-shaped molecular structure. tRNAs have two regions of fundamental functional importance: the anti-codon, which is responsible for specific mRNA codon recognition, and the 3' end, to which the tRNAs corresponding amino acid is attached (by aminoacyl-tRNA synthetases). tRNAs cope with the degeneracy of the genetic code in two manners: having more than one tRNA (with a specific anti-codon) for a particular amino acid; and 'wobble' base-pairing, i.e. permitting non-standard base-pairing at the 3rd anti-codon position.
Source: RNAcentral
GGUGCGUUGGAUGAGCGGUUUAGUCUCUGGUCUGCAAAACCAGCUAGGGCGGUUCGACUCCGCCACGCACCUCCA